UGCCAGCAGCCGCGGUAAGACGGAGGGGGCUAGCGUUGUUCGGAAUGACUGGGCGUAAAGCGCGCGUAGGUGGUUCUGUAAGUUAGAUGUGAAAGCCCUGGGCUUAACCCAGGAAUUGCAUUUAAAACUGCAGAACUAGAGUGUGAUAGGGGAGUGGAAUUCCGAGUGUAGAGGUGAAUUUCGUAGAUAUUCGGAGGAACAUCUGAGGCGAAGGCGACAUUCUGGGUCACAACUGACACUGAGGUGCGAUAGCGUGGGGAGCAAACAGGAUUAGAUA
This 277-nucleotide ribosomal RNA is filed under the name uncultured bacterium. Its description in RNAcentral is "partial 16S ribosomal RNA". It matches the Rfam family "Bacterial small subunit ribosomal RNA", at positions 506 to 784 of the family's 1533-position model. The record is from RNAcentral.